GACGAACGCUGGGGGCGUGCUUAACACAUGCAAGUCGAACGGUAAGGCCCUGCUUUUGUGGGGUACUCGAGUGGAGAACGGGUGAGUACCACGUGAGUAACCUGCCCUUGUCUUUGGGAUACCUUCAGGAAACUGGGGCUAAUACCGGAUAGGAGAUCCUGCUGCAUGGUGGGGGUUGGAAAGUUUCGGCGGUUGGGGAUGGACUCGCGGCUUAUCAGCUUGUUGGUGGGGUAGUGUCUUACCAAGGCUUUGACGGUUAGCCGCUCUGAGAGGGUGACCGGCCACAGUGUGACCGAGGAACGGCCCGGACUCCAACUGGAGCCAGCAGUGAAGAAUGGAGCAAGAUGGGCUGAAGCCGGAAGCAGCGACGCCGCGUGGGGGAGGACUGCCUUCGGGUUGUAAUCCGCCUUCGCCUGAUACUAACCGUGAGUGACGGUAACAGGUAAAGAAGCACCGGCUAACUACGUG
RNAcentral lists this ribosomal RNA (468 nucleotides) under uncultured bacterium. RNAcentral's name for it is "partial 16S ribosomal RNA". It matches the Rfam family "Bacterial small subunit ribosomal RNA", at positions 28 to 507 of the family's 1533-position model. The record is from RNAcentral.